This 482-nucleotide ribosomal RNA is filed under the name uncultured bacterium. Its description in RNAcentral is "partial 16S ribosomal RNA". It matches the Rfam family "Bacterial small subunit ribosomal RNA", at positions 30 to 507 of the family's 1533-position model. The record is from RNAcentral.
AUUGAACGCUGGCGGCAUGCUUUACACAUGCAAGUCGAACGGCAGCGCGGGGCAACCUGGCGGCGAGUGGCGAACGGGUGAGUAAUAUAUCGGAACGUACCCAGAAGUGGGGGAUAACGUAGCGAAAGUUACGCUAAUACCGCAUACGAUCUACGGAUGAAAGUAGGGGACCGCAAGGCCUUAUGCUUUUGGAGCGGCCGAUAUCUGAUUAGCUAGUUGGUGAGGUAAAGGCUCACCAAGGCGACGAUCAGUAGCUGGUCUGAGAGGACGACCAGCCACACUGGAACUGAGACACGGUCCAGACUCCUACGGGAGGCAGCAGUGGGGAAUUUUGGACAAUGGGCGCAAGCCUGAUCCAGCAAUGCCGCGUGAGUGAAGAAGGCCUUCGGGUUGAAAAGCUCUUUUGUCAGGGAAGAAACGGUAGAGGCUAAUAUCCUUUGCUAAUGACGGUACCUGAAGAAUAAGCACCGGCUAACUACGUG